RNAcentral lists this transfer RNA (69 nucleotides) under Colletes gigas. RNAcentral's name for it is "tRNA-Val". Lineage: Eukaryota; Metazoa; Arthropoda; Insecta; Hymenoptera; Colletidae. The record is from RNAcentral.
AAAAUUUUAGUUUAAUAUAAAAAAUUAUUCUAUUACAAAGAAAAGAUUUAAUUAAAAUUAAAAAUUUUA